GCCCUGGUGGCACAACGGUUAAGCACUCAGCUGCUAACUGAAAGGUUGGAGGUUCGAGUCCACCCAGAGGUG
RNAcentral lists this transfer RNA (72 nucleotides) under Loxodonta africana (African savanna elephant). It matches the Rfam family "tRNA". From Rfam's summary of the family: Transfer RNA (tRNA) molecules are approximately 80 nucleotides in length. The record is from Rfam by way of RNAcentral. Lineage: Eukaryota; Metazoa; Chordata; Mammalia; Proboscidea; Elephantidae.